Molecule: ribosomal RNA, 484 nt
Filed under: uncultured bacterium
Lineage: Bacteria
Description: partial 16S ribosomal RNA
Rfam family: Bacterial small subunit ribosomal RNA
Source: RNAcentral
AUUGAACGCUGGCGGCAUGCCUAACACAUGCAAGUCGAACGGCAGCGCGGGGGCAACCCUGGCUGCGAGUGGCGGGCGGGUGAGGAAUGCAUAGGAAUCUGCCCGGCUGUGGGGGAUGACGUAGGGAAACUUACGCUAAUACCGCAUACGACCUUCGGGUGAAAGUGGGGGACCUUCGGGACUCACGCGAUCGGAUGAGCCUAUGCCCGAUUAGCUAGUUGGCGGGGUAAGAGCCCACCAAGGAGACGAUCGGUAGCUGGUCGGAGUGGAUGAUCAGCCACCCUGGAGCGUAGACACGGCCCAGACUCCUAAGGGAGGCAGCAGUCGGGAAUAUUGGACAAUGGGCGCAAGCCUGAUCCAGCAAUGCCGCGUGUGUGAAGAAGGCCUUCGGGUUGUAAAGCACUUUUGUUCGGUAAGAAAUCCGUGUGGUUAAUACCCGUACGGGAUGACGGUACCGAAAGAAUAAGCACCGGCUAACUUCGUG